GAGUUUGAUCAUGGCUCAGGACGAACGCUGGCGGCGUGCCUAAUACAUGUAAGUCGAACGAACGGAUAAAGAGCUUGCUCUUUUGAAGUUAGUGGCGGACGGGUGAGUAAUACGUGGGUAACCUGCCUCACAGCUGGGGAUAACAUCGAGAAAUCGAUGCUAAUACCGAAUGUGCUGAACAUCAUAAGAUGUUCAAGUGAAAGACGGUUUCGGCUGUCACUGUGAGAUGGACCCGCGCUGGAUUAGCUAGUUGGUAAGGUAAUGGCUUACCAAGGCGACGAUCCAUAGCCGACCUGAGAGGGUGAUCGGCCACAUUGGGACUGAGACACGGCCCAAACUCCUACGGGAGCAGCAGUAGGGAAUCUUCGGCAAUGGACGAAAGUCUGACCGAGCAACGCCGCGUGAGCGAAGAAGGCCUU
This 419-nucleotide ribosomal RNA is filed under the name uncultured Bacillus sp. RNAcentral describes it as "bacterial SSU rRNA". It matches the Rfam family "Bacterial small subunit ribosomal RNA", at positions 9 to 418 of the family's 1533-position model. Lineage: Bacteria; Bacillati; Bacillota; Bacilli; Caryophanales; Bacillaceae. The record is from RNAcentral.